Molecule: ribosomal RNA, 405 nt
Filed under: uncultured cyanobacterium
Lineage: Bacteria; Bacillati; Cyanobacteriota
Description: partial 16S ribosomal RNA
Rfam family: Bacterial small subunit ribosomal RNA
Source: RNAcentral
UGGGGAAUUUUCCGCAAUGGGCGAAAGCCUGACGGAGCAAUACCGCGUGAGGGAGGAAGGUCCUUGGAUUGUAAACCUCUUUUAUCAGGGAAGAAAAAAAUGACGGUACCUGAUGAAUAAGCAUCGGCUAACUCCGUGCCAGCAGCCGCGGUAAUACGGAGGAUGCGAGCGUUAUCCGGAAUUAUUGGGCGUAAAGCGUCCGUAGGUGGUUUUGCAAGUCUGCCGUCAAAGAAUGGAGCUCAACUCCAUACCGGCGGUGGAAACUGUGAGACUAGAGUACAGUAGGGGUAGCAGGAAUUCCCAGUGUAGCGGUGAAAUGCGUAGAUAUUGGGAAGAACAUCGGUGGCGAAAGCGUGCUACUGGGCUGAAACUGACACUGAGGGACGAAAGCUAGGGUAGCGAAAG